This 253-nucleotide ribosomal RNA is filed under the name uncultured bacterium. RNAcentral describes it as "partial 16S ribosomal RNA". It matches the Rfam family "Bacterial small subunit ribosomal RNA", at positions 524 to 776 of the family's 1533-position model. The record is from RNAcentral.
GACGGAGGGUGCAAGCGUUGUUCGGAAUUACUGGGCGUAAAGCGCGGGCAGGUGGCCUUUUACGUCCUUUGUGAAAUUCCGGAGCUCAACUCCGGAUGUGCAUAGGAUACUGGAAGGCUAGAGACUGGUAGAGGCGAGCGGAAUUCCUGGUGUAGCGGUGGAAUGCGUAGAUAUCAGGAAGAACACCGGUGGCGAAGGCGGCUCGCUGGGCCAGUUCUGACACUCAUCCGCGAAAGCGUGGGGAGCAAACAGG